CCUCAUGCGCUUCAUUCCUCAACUUCGGUUCAGGGAAAUCUCGUCGCGCCGAAAUUCCCCAUCGGCGGCGGCGGCAGAGAUCUAAGCGUUAUCAAAUUAUCAUCAAACACUGUCAUAUUCUAAUCAAAUCCUCUCCCCUAAUCCAUUAUCACAUUCUAACCAAAUCCUCAUGUCAAUUGGAACAGUACUCGAGCCCUAAUUGACUAAAACAACAAUCCAGCAAAAAUGGAGGAGAGUUCGAGCCGGUCAUCAGGGGGCUUCAACUUCCCUUCCUCGAGACUACAUCACAGUGCAAAUCAAAGAGGGAAAAGAAAGGGAGCUUACCUGCCGGAGUAGCUCCAGCAGAUUUUCGAGAUGUUGAUAUUGAGCGCGAAGAUUUAAACUCCUCUGAUGCUUCAGUUAAACCUUGCUUUCCUUGUCCCAAUCGUAUCUGAGUGCCUUCCUUCUUCUUCUUCUUCGUCUCGUGAUUUCCUUAUGAUAUUGUUGUUAUGUGCGUGUGAAGUUAUGAAUCAUGGAAAUCCGAGAGAACGAAAGUGAAUUGGAAAGAAUCAUGUUUGGUGAAUUCUGAGAUGAAUCGUGAAUUGUUGAUGCAGAUUGCAGGGUGGAUUCAAUGGCGAGCGAAGAUUGAAGAUUCUUUAAAGAAUGAAGUUUGCAUGAUGAUCUCUGAAGAGUGCAGCUUCGGCAGAAUGCUUCCCCCCUUUCAUAUUGCAGUGAAGGUAACCAAAUGUGAUGUAUACUCACGAGAAUGAAGAGGGAAAAAGACGACUUACAAAUGAGAACCAUGGUUUUUAGAAAUAGAUGGUUGACUUUGGUCAACUGUUGACCAAAAGUCAACAUUUGACUAAAAAUCAACCUUAGGCCAAAAUCCAGGGAAAAAGACGACUUACAAAUGAGAACCAUGGUUUUUAGAAAUAGAUGGUUGACUUUGGUCAACUGUUGACCAAAAAGUCAACAUUUGACUAAAAAUCAACCUUAGGCCAAAAUCCUCUUGUGUAAUUAUGUAUGGACACUUGUAGUCUUGAUUUUGUAAAAAUGAAAUGAAUAACUUUUUAGUAAAAUGGUUCUUGGUUUUAUGUA
Molecule: long non-coding RNA, 1077 nt
Organism: Lathyrus oleraceus (garden pea)
Lineage: Eukaryota; Viridiplantae; Streptophyta; Magnoliopsida; Fabales; Fabaceae
Exons: 2
Source: RefSeq, a predicted model, not a curated record